Long non-coding RNA from Gallus gallus (chicken), 1938 nucleotides. NCBI's taxonomy places the organism in Eukaryota, Metazoa, Chordata, Aves, Galliformes, Phasianidae. The record is from Ensembl.
CUGCCUUCCCUCUCAGCUGCUGGAAGUGUGCCCUGCUCUGGGAGUCAGCGUGAGCAGCGGGAGCUCAAAGGCACAUUUGACAUUUUAUUUGAAUUUUGUGCAGUUAUCGGAUGCUUUUUCUUUGUUUUGGGCUUGUUUGGGCUUUUCUCAAGCUUUAGCCUUUCUGGGCACAGGCUUCUUCCUAUUGAUUUGCUUUUGCAGGCAGAAACAGAUGUGGAUGACUUUGAAAACUGGCAAAGGGACAGUGAAUUGGACUCUGCAACAGGAAUGGGAUGCAGAACAGUGCAACAGAGUGUCCUGCAGCAAAACGAGACGGACCUUCAUGCAGUGUCAGCUCCAGCACUGGUGAGGACUGUUUGCAUUCAGAGAAGCAAUAUUCAACAUUUGUUGUUUCAAUACCUGAAGUUGUGACCACUGAAAACUUGGAGGAGCUGCUUCAUUGAGCACGGAGCUCGUGACGAGAGGCCUGAAAGCAGGAAUUCAGAGCUCCUACUAACAAAUGGAAAAGAAACUUUGGAGUGUGGACCUAAGUAAUAGAAUCAUCAAAUCAUUUAGUUUGGAAAAGACCACUGAGAUCAUCUAGUCCAACCAUCAACCCAUCCCCACCAUGGCCACUAACCAUGUCCCUCAGUGCUACAUCUACACAUUCCUUGAACACCUCCAGGAAGUGACUUCACCACCUCCCUGGGCAGCCUGUGCCAAUGCAUCACCACUCCUGAGAAGAAAAUUUUCAUAAUAUCCAACCUGAACCUCCCCUGGCACAAUAUCCCCUUUAGAUAUUGAAAGGCCACUCUCAAAUAUCCACAAAGAGAGGGGAAACUUUCUCCUCUCCAGGCUGAACAGCCCCAGCUCUCUCGGUCUGUCCUCAUAGGAGAGGUGUUCCAUCUCCAGGAUCACUGUUGUGGCCAUCCUCUGGAUGUGCUCCAACAGGUCUGUGUCUCUCUUGUACUGUGGACUGCACAUCUGGAUGCAGUACUCCAGGUGAAGUCUUACCAACACAGAGCAGAGAGGAAAAUUUCUAGUCUUCACAUAUUGUAAGUAUUAAUAAGGGAAUUUCCUAGUAUUAGCACAACAAAAGAGGAAAUAUUAAAAUAAUAGCUGAUUAUGUGUGUGUAUGGGUAAUGCAGUCAUGAAAAACCCUUCAAGUCUAACGUUUUGUUGUCUCUCUAAGUACAUGCUCUUGAUUUUUGCAGUCAUUCGCUUUAACUACAGUCACAAGAACCUAGAACAGAGAGAAUGAAGUUCUGGACAGCAAAUAAGGAAGUAUUUGUAGUGAGUGUUGGCAGAACUGACACCACACCAGGUCACAGCCAUGUAUUACAGUCCAGCAUCCCUGGGGCAAGACUCCAAUAGCAAACUGGAAAGAUGCAGAUAGUUCAGCUUCCUGAAGCUGGCCCCAGUCCCACCACUCCCUGAACCCUGUCCAGCCCAGCUUCUGCCUAUGCUGCUACCCCUGGGGCCCAUCCAUCAGCAGGUUGUGUCCUCAUCACCCACCUCCUGCCUCCAGCUGCCCUCCUGCUGCCCCUCCCUCGCCAUGAGUCACAUCCUUCCUUCCUCCGCCUCUGUUUUCCCUCUGGCCUCAGCCCCAAUCUAUUUGAGCCAAUAUCCUUUCCUCCACCAUCAAUGAGCUUCAGCCUUCUUGGCAUUCUUUUCCUCUCCUUCUCUUUCCUUUGCCUCUUGAGGGGCUCGCACUGCAAAGCAGUCCAUUCUGGCUGUGCGUCCCGGCCCCAGCCCUGAGCCACACAGUGGUCAGUGCCCUCCCUGUCAUCAGGGCAGCUGGAGUGGGACCAGAGGAAGGAGAAUGCUUGGCAACCAUGCUGAGAAAAUGGAAGUCCCCACCCAACAAGAACAAACCUCUCCUCUCUCCCGCUGGUGUUUAGAAAUGGGAAAAAUUUGGACAGAUGUUCACGGGGCAGAAAAAGUGCAGCUCAGAAGCAG